AGUGAACGCUGGCGGUAGGCCUAACACAUGCAAGUCGAACGGCAGCACAGUAAGAGCUUGCUCUUACGGGUGGCGAGUGGCGGACGGGUGAGGAAUACAUCGGAAUCUACUUUUUCGUGGGGGAUAACGUAGGGAAACUUACGCUAAUACCGCAUACGACCUACGGGUGAAAUCAGGGGAUCUUCGGACCUUGCGCGAUUGAAUGAGCCGAUGUCGGAUUAGCUAGUUGGCGGGGUAAAGGCCCAACAAGGCGACGAUCCGUAGCUGGUCUGAGAGGAUGAUCCGCCACACUGGAACUGAGACACGGUCCAGACUCCUACGGGAGGCAGCAGUGGGGAAUAUUGGACAAAGGGCGCAAGCCUGAUCCAGCCAUACCGCGUGGGUGAAGAAGGCCUUCGGGUUGUAAAGCCCUUUUGUUGGGAAAGAAAAGCAGCAGGUUAAUACCCCGCUGUUCUGACGGUACCCAAAGAAUAAGCACCGGCUAACUUCGUG
RNAcentral lists this ribosomal RNA (492 nucleotides) under uncultured bacterium. RNAcentral describes it as "partial 16S ribosomal RNA". It matches the Rfam family "Bacterial small subunit ribosomal RNA", at positions 29 to 507 of the family's 1533-position model. The record is from RNAcentral.